Beta vulgaris subsp. vulgaris (sugar beet) is the source of this 858-nucleotide long non-coding RNA. RefSeq lists it as uncharacterized. The record is from RefSeq and is a predicted model, not a curated record. Lineage: Eukaryota; Viridiplantae; Streptophyta; Magnoliopsida; Caryophyllales; Amaranthaceae. The transcript has 3 exons.
UUUAUUUUAUUUUUAAUUGUCGUUUGAAUUUUCAUUUUUGGAUUUUCAGUUUUCGAAUUCUAAUUUUUUUGGAUUUUCAUUUUUCAAUUUUCGUUUCUGAAUUUUCGUUUUUGGAUUUUCGUUUUUCAAUUUUCAAUUUUUUAAUUUUCGCUUUUUAAAUUUUCAGUUUCAUAAUUUUCGUUUUUUGAAUUUUCAUUUUUGGUUUUAAAUUUUCAGUUUUUGAAUUAUCGCUUUUUAAAUUUUUAGUUUUUGAGUUUUUGUUUUCAGUUUUCGUUUUUGGAUCUUCGUUUUCGCUGUUGUUUUGGUUUGGGUUUUUGGAUCUGUUGUUUUGGUUUGGGUGGGUCUGUUCGUGGGGUUGUUCGGGGAGGGUGGUGCUUUCCGGCUCGUUACAGUAUUGAAAGAAGUGGACUUCAAUACUGUAUGUAAACCUGAUCUCUAUGUUUAUUUGGAAGUCUGUUUAGUGUUUACAGGUGGUUUUCUAACUUCUUAUUUUGUUGGUGCAGGCAACUCUAUCUGAUAUACUCCGACUGCUUGAUGGAUAGUUCGUUGUUGUUACAUUCAAAUUAAAAGCUAAUGUCAUCGUCGGUGCGGUUUUUCCUCGGCAACCUCCUCUUUGUGAAUGUUUGUUUGAGUUUGAUAGGAUGACUUUGGAAAGGUUGAAGAUUGAAGAUUUGUAUAUUGAAGAAGAAAUGAUUUCUUUCUAAUGUAUUAGAUAGAUUUUUUGUUAUUAUUUAUUUGAGGUUGUAAAUUAUUCACAAAUUUUGAUUUAUCAUUUCUAUUUAUAUUGUAAUUACUUUUAUUACAUAUAAUAAUAAUAAUAAUAAUAAUAAUAAUAAUAAUAAUAAUAAUAAUAAUAAU